AAGGAGCCAAUCAUGGACCGUCACUAUCAGAGAAAGCAGCCAAUCAGAAAGUAUGUAUAUAGCAGGGCAGGAAGCAGAGGCCCACUUAAGCACAGUGUCCGUUAAGCUCAAGACCAUCGCUGCAGACAGACAAGGAAGGGAGAUAGCCUGGUCAGCUAUCUGAACAGAGAACAGACAAGGACAGAUCGACCACCUAAUCCUGUCUGUUUCUUGGGGAAACCAAGCAACUAAAGAACAGGCUCAGCCACCUGUGGUGCCAUGGACUUAUUUGGUCUUGCUGCACUCCUCUGAGGAACCAUCGCCCUCAACAGUACCCAAAGUGGAAAACCAGUUAUUGAGUGGGAUCGACUCAGGGGACUCCGAUACUACCUGCCUCAUUCUCUUAGACUGCCUGUUGGUCACCCAUUCUCUCUCUGCCUGCAUACUCCACGCUACAAUGAGACCACCUCCUUAAACAUGCUAUUCACAUACACCACAAUGACUCAGUCCACCAUUUAAGUUCUGAAGCCUAAAGCUCAAGCUUCUGCAGCCCUUGACAUUUCCUGCAAAUGUGUUUGUCUAGGAUGCAUGGAGCACCCAUGACUUCCUACAUGCCACAGGAUGCAUAUUCCACUCGACUGAGCUACCCUGCAAUACCUUAACUUUACAAACUAUUUAAUAUGAGUAGAAUAAGUAGAAUAACUUACCAGUUACUCACUAGUCAGCUUCUUCCCCUGUACCAAAGAAACAAAUGCUGGAGACUGAAAAAGGUAGAAAAAGAAAAGAGAACCUCCUUCCACUCUUCAUCGAACUCCCUCACUCAUCAAAUUCCUAGCUUUUUACCCUGUCCAAGCUGGACUCAGUGAGUUUGAGUCUGUAAGCAACUGAUGCAGCAGCCAAGUAUUGAUCCUUAUUUGAUGGCCACUGAGGGUGGAGAUACUGUUGCAUGAGGUGGUUGUGAGGUUGAAUGGUCCUCAGUGCCACUCCAUGCUAUCACCCUCAUAGGUCAACAUUGCAGCAUGUCUAUAAAGAGGAGCCAAUUUUAAACCAAUUGUAACUACUACCGUCACUAAAUACAUCAGCUCCAUGUUGCAUGGCUAGUUCAAAUGUCCUUGCAGCAAAUGGAAUAGCAAUGCAUCUGUUUCUUUGACAUAGCUCUUUAUAAGACUGUUCCCUGUGGCCAUUGAUAGCUAGCUAGCAGAAAUACUUGGUGGGUGCCACCAAUCAGGGUACACUGACAACUGAUCAUGCUCUUUUUUGCAGUGCCUUCGGAAGCAUGGCAUAAUGUGAUUGGGGGAGUCUCUGUAAACAUUCAACAUAUGGUUAGUCAGGCAUUUGCUCAUCUUAGGUGUACCAUCAAGUCAUAAGGACAAGCCACUUAGCCACUCAAGCCUAUUAUACCACAGCUCCUAGCCUUGCACCAUUUAGACAAUACUCUGAUUUGUCUUUUUCAGAUUUAAAGUGGCUGACCUUUGUUAGGUUCAUAUGACAUGGAAAGAAACACACCAUUAUAUAUUUAAAAACUUUAUCCUUUUUUAAAACUGGUCUUUUUCUGCUAAACAUAGAACAUUAAGAUGGCUGCUACAAGCCAUCACAGGGUUGGCCUUCUGACUGAGAGCUAUCCCCAGGAGUUCUGAGGACAAAAGAAUUCUUCUGUUAGUUUCUGGAAUGUCAGACCUCAUUAUACCUAGAGAGCUACUGCAGACUCAUAUCAGACCUGGGACUGUUCAGACCAAUUUCAAAGGGGACUGUGGGGAUGUGACUCAUGUUUGAUAAGUCAACCUAGCUAGCAGAGUCAGUGGGUCUGCUGAGACAAUGGCUUCCCAAAGGCCAGACCCUCAACAUAGAUGCACCCCUUUCAACAACUAAUGACUGAGGCAUUAUCAGUCUUGAAACCAAAGUCAAUUCCAGAUAUUAGAUAAACAUCCCCUUUGAGUCACUGUGGAGAAGGAAAGUCACAUGACCCAAGCUUUCAGCCUUUUGGACAUUUUAAUAUUACAUCUCUGGUCCUCACAGUCAGAUUGCAGUUUUAACAUUGACUGGACAGAACUCCAGUAGCCAGGCUGGGUAAGCAGUUUCAACUCCACAAUGCCUGCUUGGUUCUAAAAGUAUCUGAUCAACACCCGUCAAAUAUCUAAACACAGAAAAGCCCAUCUUGCAGCAGAGUCAUUAGUAUCAAGGAUUUUUGUAUCGUUUAACCAACCAGAAACUCAUUGGAAUGGAACCCCACCAUGAAGGAAACACGCUCUGGACUUUGCCUUUGGACUCUGGAACUCAGUUGAACUUACCCAUUGCUACACGAGGGCGGCAUUGACCUCUUGCUGGGUCAAAGUCUUCAUUCUCAUCCAUGCACUCACAGAAGAAGGAGCCUUCAAAAUUUUCACAGAGUGCUGUUCCACAAACUCCAUUCAUCAUCUCACAUUCAUUUAUAUCUAAAAAUGAGAACACAAUGAUUUUUUAAUUAGAAUAUAUAUGUACUCUGACAGCCCAAUGGCAGUGACGGGAUUCAUGUCAGGUCAAUGGCAUCUUUAAGGAAGGAAAUCUGCCAUCCUUACCCGGUCUACCUACACGUGACUCCAGACCCAGGAAACCACUCAGUUCUAUCAAACCAUAACAGAGAAGUUUACCACAUGACUGCAGUGGUUCAAGAAGGCAGCUCAUCACCGCCUUCUCAGGGACAAUUAUGGAUGGGAAACAAAUGCUGGCUUUGCCAGCAAUGCCUAUGUCCCAAGAAUGAAUAAAAAAAGUUACACCAUUUUCAAAUUUAUCAAUUCUGAAAAAACCUUUUGAGUACACGAUUACUUGACUCUGUGGGCUAAAAAUUCAUCUGUAAUAAUUUGCAGUUGCAGGGAUUGUGAUUCAUCAUUUGCCCACGCCAGACUGUGUUGAGACAGACAGCAAACAAAGGUUGUGUUGUAUCCUCAUUUAUAUAAUUAUAGUGUACAGCUGAGCAUAACCUGCGCUUUUGGCUGGUCGUACAUGCAACAGGGAGCCUGACAUCUUGCGAGACUAGCAUAUGUUUUAUCCAUCCUUCAGUUUUUCAAUGCAAUUUGGCCUUCUUAAAGUGAACAACGCUGAAUGAAAGGGAGUUGCUGCUGACUGCCAGUACUGCAAUUGUUUGAAAUUGCAAACAAAGCAAAAGGAGCAACAAAGUAGAGAGAGGACUCCUAGGUUUAUGGAUGCAGAGCUGGAGUCCUUAGUAUGGAAGUCAAACGGGGAAUGAGAGACAGGCCAUGUUUCUGUGGUGGGGGGCUGGGGCAGGAGGCCAUCAAAGGAUCCUAUUCCCUUCACGUGUGGUGUCUGAAACACAAGGCAGAAUCUUCCGUCAAGGGAAUAUCAUUUUUUCCAAGGCCAGGAUUUCCUGUUUGGCGAGUGGGGGGCGGGGCCCGCUCGCCGAAGCGUAAAAUGACACGGGAUGACGUCAGGCGGAACUCCCAAUGUCACCCCACCUCAUUUCAAUUUUCAGGUCAGCGGGGGCUCAGCUGAAUCAGGUGCACCCACCGACCUGUCAAUGGCCUAUUGAGGCCAUUGACAAAGUAAUUAACAUAAUUAGUGGACCUGCCUGUCCACUAAUUGGCGGGCAGGCCGGGAGCCCUGGUGGGCAUUGGAAAAAGUAUGAAACCUCAUCCACGGGCGAGAUGAGGUUUCAUGUAGGUUUUAAAAAAUUUAAUAUAAGUGUAAAUAAAAGUGAUGGACAUGUCUCAACUCAUGUGACAGUGUCACACGAGGGGAAAUGUCAGGAAAUUUUUUUUCUCUGUUUUUAACAUGUUUUAAUGUGGAGCCAGUCUCCCCGAGGCAACACUUAGCCUCAGGGAGAUGAGUGUGCUCUUUUGCGCGCAUGCCCCGAUUGGGGGCACCGAUCGGAGUCGUGCUUUCAUGCGCCCACUCCUGAAACCGCCCCCAAUGGGAGGAAAAUUGUGCCCCAAUAUUAUUGUGGAAUAAUGUGAAGCAGGCUUGUGAGGGCUGUGUGUGUGUUGUGUGUAUGUGUGACUAAUUUAAACUAAAGACAGUCAGACUGCAAGGUUUAAAUCAUCAAAGGGAAUAUGUGUUAAAACAUGCAUUUUGAAAUGGAGAUGGACAAGCUAAGAUGAGAUCCCAGUAAAGACAGUAUAAAUGGAAUUUGCAUUAGGAGAGAAAUGAGGAGUGAAUUGUUAGCUGUUGAAUUUCAAAGAGGCAUACCAGGAAGUUUUACAACUGGCAAGGAUUGUAAAUAAAUGAGGCGAAGUUAUUAAGUUUAUUUCUCCUGAAAGAGCUGGCCAUAAGAUUUUAUAUUCUGGGAAAGGUAACUCCCAAAGAAAGUUUAGAACAAUGGGUUUAAAGAUCAAAGGGGAGAAAAUAUAUUUAAGGAAAGAUUGAAAGCUUUAUGAGGUGAGUGGCCAUGUGAGAUCUUGAAAGGUGGGCUGUGCGAAGACAGAUCUAUGAAAAGCAGCCUCCAGCCACCCAAGAGCAGUGCUUGUUUGUUCCAGAAAGCAAGGUUUUGUUACAAGCUUUGGAUCUCCAUUGUUGAGUGAGAGGGAAAGGGAAGCCCUGUGAAAUACUUCCCUUAUAGCAUCCGUGGGUGCCUUGAAGUAAUAUUAUUGGAUGUUUUAUACAUUAAGAAUCUAUUUGGACUUUUGCUUGGAAAAGGGUGUUUAUUUUGAAAGUCUAGUGAAUUAGAAGGCUUUUGGAAAAUGUUGUAAGACUAAAUUUAACUGUGUAACUGUAAUCUUGAGAGUUUAAGUUUUCUUAUCUUUUUUAAUAAACGUUUUAAUUUAAUAUUCAAAA
This is a long non-coding RNA of Carcharodon carcharias (great white shark), 4743 nucleotides long. RefSeq lists it as uncharacterized. The transcript is spliced from 3 exons. The record is from RefSeq and is a predicted model, not a curated record. Lineage: Eukaryota; Metazoa; Chordata; Chondrichthyes; Lamniformes; Lamnidae.